GUAGGUGGCAAGCGUUGUCCGGAAUUAUUGGGCGUUAAAGCGCGCGCAGGUGGGUUCUUUAAGUCUGAUGUGAAAGCCCCCGGGCUCAACCGGGGAGGGUCAUUGGAAACUGGGGAACUUGAGUGCAGGAGAGGAAAGUGGAAUUCCACGUGUAGCGGUGAAAUGCGUAGAUAUGUGGAGGAACACCAGUGGCGAAGGCGACUUUCUGGCCUGUAACUGACACUGAGGCGCGAAAGCGUGGGGAGCAAACAGGAUUAGAUACCCUGGUAGUCCACGCCGUAAACGAUGAGUGCUAAGUGUUGGGGGGUUUCCGCCCCUCAGUGCUGCAGCUAACGCAUUAAGCACUCCGCCUGGGGAGUACGGCCGCAAAGACUG
This 375-nucleotide ribosomal RNA is filed under the name uncultured organism. RNAcentral describes it as "partial 16S ribosomal RNA". It matches the Rfam family "Bacterial small subunit ribosomal RNA", at positions 527 to 896 of the family's 1533-position model. The record is from RNAcentral.